Molecule: long non-coding RNA, 2751 nt
Organism: Oncorhynchus tshawytscha (Chinook salmon)
Lineage: Eukaryota; Metazoa; Chordata; Actinopteri; Salmoniformes; Salmonidae
Source: Ensembl
CAAAGAUAAAUAACACAGACUUACUCUCUAUCCCAGUAGUGGUAUCAUUCUGUUGAACACCCUGAAACAGAGGUAAAUGAGCGCGGUCUCUCUCUCUCUCUCUGUCUCUCUCUCUGUCUCUGCCUCUCUCUCUCUCUCUCUCUCUCUGUCUCUGUCUCUGUCUCUGUCUCUCUCUCUCUCUCUCUGUCUCUCUCUCACAUACACACACACACAAAGUGACAGGACAUAUUAAUGCCAUUACUGGUGGCAUCUGUCUCAGGAAUGCUGUAUCAUUUGAUGUCAGUAAGCCUCUAUGUCAGUAUCAAUGAGAGCUAGCAUUGAUCAUCAUGGUUGUUUUAACAGAGGACAUCCUCCUGUGUCAGAUUAAAACACUUUCCUCAUCUAUAAUCCUAAUCUCAGUUUUUACCUUUAUAAUGAACGGCUAGACUGAUUGCUGCUGUCGCGGCAUGAUUCAUUUACUUUGUACAGGGUGAUUCUUUGUCCCUCCCAAUCAACAUAGGCUGGCACAGAACUAGUAUUGUCUAGUCCAGAAUUCAAUGCUUUGGAGAUCUAUUAGCUGAACACUUUUGGAUUAAAACUAUGGUGUAUGUUCAUUUUCAAUGGUAAAAGGCCAGAGGAUAAUAUUUCUAGUUUUAGUCAUUUUGUUGUCAUACAGUUUGACAGAGAAACACAUGGAGUGAAAUAGUCAUUCCAGUCAAUUUCAUGCAGAUGAAUUGCAGGCUAUGUGUGAGGGUUAAGCUGGCUGUUCUUGGAUAUUAUUGAAUUACUGUUCAUGUUUCCCAUGGGCAGAUUAGGGAUUAGAGGGCUCUCCUCACGGUAAAUACCAGUCAGAACACACUGGCAGAUAUGUCCUCCGGCUGGGUAUCAACAGUGCACUGCCUUCCCUUCACUCCAGCAUACAGACCAACAAGACCCCUAGCUCCUGCAGAGUGUGUGUGACAAGACUGUGUGUGUGUGUGACAAGACUGUGUGUGUGUGUGACAAGACUGUGCGUGUGUGUGUGUGUGUGUGUGAGACAAGACUGUGUCUGUGUGUGCGCGUGUGUGUGAAUGUAUGUGUAUGUGCAGGCGUCUUUUUGUGAAUGACUUUCAAUCGCCAUUCUUCAUAUCUUCAUAUUUGGCACUCUAGAUGUCCAUGUGUGUGCAAUAGUUACAUUAUAAGGUUAGUCAAGAUACUGUUUAAGAGACAGUUUUAUAUUCGGUUUUUAGAUUUGCAUUCAUUCAAACUUUGGGGAUAUUCCAUUUGGGAACUGUCUGUCUAUAUUAUGUGUGAUGUAGGGUAGAGUGUAGCAUUGUGGGUAUUUCUAAGAGUCUGUGUGGACUAUUUGUGCUGCAGGCAGGGGGAAGAGGAUAACGUGUUGGGGGAAGAGAAGAGGAGAAGGAGGAGGGCAUAUUUAGAUCUACUUGAAUGAUCCCAGUCACAAGGCCACCAUUGCCUUAAGCAUGUGUGUGUCUUUAUGUGUCUGUAUGUGUGUGUGUGCUGUGUGUGUGUGGGUGUUUGUGUGUGUCUGACUCAUUCCGUUCGAUGGGAGUUGAGUUACGAGGGGGCGAUGGAAGCAUAAGGGAACUCUACCCUAGAAUGUUUGUGGGCUAUGUGUGUGUGUGUGUGUGUGUGUGUGUGUGUGUGUGUGUGUGUGUGUGUUUGUCUGUUUAUGUGUGUGCGUGUGUGUGUGUAGUUGUCUGUUUAUGUGUGUGUAAGUAACCCACUCUGUCUGUGUGUAUCAUACCAGUGAGAACCUGUGACUGUCCUGACCAGACAUAUCAUGUUCUCUGGGCCAGUGAGUGUGUUUUUCUGCUGCUCAGCUUUAGUGAGUGUGUUUCUCUGCUGCUCAGCUGCAGUGAGUGUGUUUCUCUGCUGCUCUGCUGCAGUGAGUGUGUUUCUCUGCUGCUCUGCUGCAGUGAGUGUGUUUUUCUACUGCUCAGCUGCAGUGAGUGUGUUUUUCUGCUGCUCAGCUGCAGUGAGUGUGUUUCUCUGCUGCUCUGCUGCAGUGAGUGUGUUUUUCUGCUGCUCUGCUGCAGUGAGUGUAUUUUCGUGCUGCUCUGCUGCAGUGAGUGUGUUUCUCUGCUGCUCAGCUGCAAUGAGUGUGUUUUUUUCCUGCUCUGUUGCAGUGAGUGUGUUUCUCUGCUGCUCAGCUGCAGCGAGUGUGUUUCUUCGCUGCUCUGCUGCAGUGAGUGUGUUUGUGUUGCGGUGAAGAGCCCUGUAUGUUUACAUGCGCUUCAGAGUGUGUCGUUUUCUGUUCAGGCUUAGGCUACCCAGCUCUCUGUUAGAAGAGGCCCAACCUGCUCUCUCUCUCUCUCUCUCUCCUGUCACUAAUUUAGAGCUAUUAUGGUUGUUGUUGCAGCUACUGUCUGAUAUUUCUGACUUGGCAGAGACAUGAGAGAUGUGCUAUCGCUCAAAUUUAUGGUUGUUUGGUUCGCAUGUGGACUUCUGCAGAUUUAAAAUAUGUGCGUGCAUGUGUGUGGUGCACAGCAUGAGCCUUUGGCUUGAUAGGACUGACUUACUGAAUCAGUGCUCCUCAUGUGUGACAGCACAUUUCUCUCUCUCUCUGCUGGUAUAAACUGUGUUAGUGACUGCAGAGAUCUGUUCUGCUUUCACAGUGUUUAAAUAUGUAUCUGAAACUGGUCUCAUCCAGCUGGAACUGCUAUUGCUUUCAUGUGUAAUGUUAUUCAAUAAAAAUAAAGCAUAUCUUCGUCAACUGUCCACUAUACUUCCUCUAUCAACACUCUAACGACCCUAUAUGCUAUAGUGUCA